CAAGCAGGCUGGACAGCCGCGCGGAUGGGGCGAAAGGCCCAUCUGUGAGGAAAGUCCGGGCUCCACAGGGCAAGGAUAACGGGUAACACCCGCCGGGGGCGACCCUAGGAAAAGUGCAACAGAGAUAUACCGCCUCGUUCUCCUUGAACGGGGUAAGGGUGGAAAGGUGAGGUAAGAGCUCACCCGAUGGCGUGGAAGCGCCCAUCGCUGUAAACUCUAUCCGGAGCAACGCCGUGGAGGGACAACAGGCUGGCCCGGCCGUUCCAUGGAGGCGGCUUGAGUGCGUCGGCAACGACGCAUCGAGAUAGAUGGCUGUCUUAAAAGACAGAACCCGGCUUACAGGCCUGCUUGCGAU
Molecule: RNase P RNA, 355 nt
Filed under: Clostridiales bacterium
Lineage: Bacteria; Bacillati; Bacillota; Clostridia; Eubacteriales
Also listed under: 2 other names
Description: RNase P RNA component class A
Rfam family: Bacterial RNase P class A
About the family: Ribonuclease P (RNase P) is a ubiquitous endoribonuclease, found in archaea, bacteria and eukarya as well as chloroplasts and mitochondria. Its best characterised activity is the generation of mature 5'-ends of tRNAs by cleaving the 5'-leader elements of precursor-tRNAs.
Source: RNAcentral